AGGUGGGUUGGGCCUGGAAGAAGAGCCUUCGAAGCCUCAGGAAACCAAGAGUGUUGAGCCUCUAAGAAGAGCCUUCGAAGCCUUACGAGACCAAAACGUGGGUUGGGCCUGGAAGAAGAGCCUUCGAAGCCCCAGGAAAGCAAGAGGUUAGUCUAAUCUUCUUCAUACAAGUGCUUCUACU
Molecule: long non-coding RNA, 181 nt
Organism: Ornithodoros turicata
Lineage: Eukaryota; Metazoa; Arthropoda; Arachnida; Ixodida; Argasidae
Exons: 3
Source: RefSeq, a predicted model, not a curated record